GAAUGGUAGGCAGAUUGGUUGGUUCCGCUUUUGGCACAGAUAAAGAUAAAGUGCUCACUUUUAAUGAAUAAUGCAUUAGGUACAUCAGAACCAUUUUAGCUCACUUCCUCUAGGUGAAAUAGGCCAACUGAGUAAGAAUACACACUGUUAGGACAUUCUUUUCUGAAAGAAAACCCCUGCAGUGUUUUUUUGUACUGCCUUCCAAUUACACGGGCAUUUUACCCUAAGUAUCUAUAUAUGUACCCAUGGAGUUCUUAUGUCUUUCUGUGAUCUCUUAGAAAGUUAUUGAAUCAGUUCAAGUAUCACAUGUUCAUUUUGAUGAAAUGUAUAUUACCAUUAACUUUUUGAAUUAUAUUUGUGUUACACUCAAAUCUAAUGAAAUUUUAAGUAAAAGUCUCAUGAUUUUAUGUGCCAAUUUAAGUAUAAAAUGAAAGGAAAAGUAUAAGAUAGAUGACAUUUGGAUCACCAUUAUUUUCAGAUGUGAUGUAGACAAUGGGAAAUAAUAAAUAUUUCACAAAUGACAACAUUAUGUUUUUCUGGUCUCAAAUUUCUUAUCUCACAUAGUUAAAAAAAAAAGGAAUAAUGCAAUCUCUUUCGCAAUAUCAGAGAAGAAAAUGUGAUUGCUAUUCUUCUACCUUUAAAUAUCAUUAGUAUAACCGAAUACUUUACAUCAAUGUGUUCUUUCAGAGAUGCUAGUCAUUUGCUAAAUUCCUAAAAUAUUUUAUUCCCAAAUUCUUUGGAUGCAUACAUAUUAUCAAAUCAUUUUGAAAGCUGCAAAGUGUAAUGCAAAACGUGAGCAAUCACUUUCAUCCUCUGCUCUGCCCUACCCCCCCCAAAACACAAACUAAUCUUAACUUGAUGUUUGAGAUAUAAAGAGCUUUGUAUGAUUUCCUGAAAAAAACGAUAUAGUUUUAGAGUCCCAGUGCAUGGCACUUAUGGUUAAGAUUACCUCCUAAUAGCAUUUUAAAUUCCACUGAAUAAAUAUGCUAGGAUGAGAUGAUGACUCCACUUUUUCUGAAUUGGUCAUCUGGUCCUAGAUGGUAAAUAAGCAGAAACAUGUAGUCUGAGGGUUUGCUUCUUUGUUUCCUGACAUCAGCACUUUAAAGAUUCUUGGCUAAAUUUCCUUCACUGCUAUUACCAAUGAGCUUGAUGAGCUUGAAUCUAGCAGGGUGGCUACUGUCAGGGGAGCAGUUUGGCUGUUUAAAGUUACAUAAAAUAAAACCUGUUUUGGCAAUAGAAAGGGAUGCGAUUGCUCAACAGUAAGCUUGCUUAAGCCUGAACAGACAGAAGGAAAGUAGAGCAGAGUGAUACACAGAUGAUGAUAAGCAACAGUUAGAGUCAAUGAUGGGUGGUCUGAUCUGAGGAGAAUUAAGGAAGCUAUUUGCAUCAGAUGUUGGAACAGUUAAGCCAUGCUUGAAAUCAGCAAAUGUUAUUGGAAGCUGCUUUAAAUAAUGUGAUGCAAUACAGAUAUUUUAUGUAUUUGCAAAGCCAGAUGGGAUAAGGAGUAAGAAUUUUAGAGGAACAAACUAGCUAGAAAUACUUUCAUAGAUGCCCCUAUGAACUAAUGCAUUAUGGAGAAGUGAGCUAAGGGGCUUAGAAAAGGAGAAAUAUCAUGAAUAUUAAACAGAAAUAUCAAAUUUCAUAAGGAGUUUUCAGUUUAUGUGUGUGCCUUUUAUUGUCUACACUAAAGCAGAACACAUUUCUCAUCCUUGUAAGAUGAGAGGAAGCUAAUGUAUAUGUGUGUUUAUGUGUAUGUGUGACUGUGUGUAUCUAUCUCUCUUUAUAUAGAUAUAGAUAGAUAAAUAUCAGAACUGAAUCACUUUCAUCACUCUAGAUAUUUUAUUUAAAUAACUUGACUUAAACAUACAUAAUCUCUCAAAGUUGCAAGUUCAUAUUUAUUUUAUUUUAUUUAAUCUCUUUGCUUUUUUCAGGCUUACACCCGUGGCAUAUGGAAGUUCCCAGGCUAGGGGUCAAAUCGGAGCUACACCAGCCUACACCAGAGCCAGAGCAAUGCCAGAUCCUUAAUCCAGUGAGCAAGGCCAGAGAUCAAACUUGCAUCCUCACGGAUACUAGUUGGAUUCAUUUCCACUGUACCACAAUGGGAACUCCCCAAGUUCAUUUUAAAGAAUAAUUUCACAAUAAUUUUAGCUUUAUAGAAGAGUUGCAAAGAUAGCAUAGCAUGUUUCUGUAUACACUUCACCCUGCUUCCUCUAAUGUUAACUUCUUAAAUAACCUCUACAUUUUUCAAAUUUAAGAAAUGAAUAUUAGUAUAAUACAGUUAACUAAACUAUAGUCUUUAUUCAAAUUUUCACUGUUCUUUUAUCAUUAUUUUUUCUCAGUACCUGGGAUACCACAUUACAUUUAGGCAUUCUCCUUGGUCUCUUCUGACCUGUGAUUAUUUCUUGGUCUUUCCUUAUCUUUCAUGACCUUGAUACCCUUGUAUCUAGUACACGUACUGGUCAAGUAUUUUGCGGAAUGCCCCUCCAUUUGUAUUUGCCUGAUGUUUUCUCAUGAGCAGAUUGAAGCGGAGAGUUUGAAGAAUACCACAGAGGUAUUAGGGGCAUAUGCUAUGAAAAUAACUUACUACUUGGUUGAGUUGAUGUGUGCUAGGUUUCUCCACUGAAAUUUGCAAUUACAUAUCUACUUUAAAAUCUCUGUGUUUUUUAAUGCAGGGGUUACCUAUAGGAUACAGUAAUUAUCAUUGAGCUACCUUGAAUUAUUAGUCAUGUUAGGUGAAUAGGAAGAGAUUAAUUUCAAUGACAUUGACAAAAGCACAUAAUGUGGAGAAAAUAUCCUUUGCCUCCUGAACAUUAUAAAUAAUAGAAUAUGUAGAAAAUCCCCAAUUAGCUUAAAUGCUACCUAGAAAUCAUCUUUUUUGACACAUUGCCUUUUUCUUUAUAGCAAUAUUAAGAAAUGGGAAAUGAGUCUUUUAUUACUCUCUUAACUUUUUGAACUUUGGCUCUUUUUUUUUUUUUUUCUCUUUUAAACACAUAACCAUUUAAUCAGUUCAUUUUGGCAACAUAAACAAGCUGAUAACAUUUGUCCUUUAAUCUGUCUCUUAUUUUGGUAUAUGUAGACAGACUCUUUUUAUUGUUUCUUGAGACCAUAAAGAGAAAAGCAAGGAUAUUGUAAAUGUGCAGAGGCAUGCCAGUCAGAUU
RNAcentral lists this long non-coding RNA (3158 nucleotides) under Sus scrofa (pig). RNAcentral describes it as "lncRNA (ENSSSCG00000060004.1)". Lineage: Eukaryota; Metazoa; Chordata; Mammalia; Artiodactyla; Suidae. The record is from RNAcentral.